CAUUCUUCCUCCAUUAUCUCACUGCCUCCGGUGGCUGCUGGGAUACCGGAGGACUCGGGUCCCGGCUCGACUCAGUCCUCCAGCCGCCCGGGGAAUACCUCUAGUUCUUCCCGGCCGCCGCCGCCUCCGCCCCGCCGCUUCCUCCUCCGCCUGCCGGCCUCCUUCGCCCCGCCCCGUCCGCGCAGCUCGUCCGGCCCGCCCGCAGGCCAGCUUCUCUCGGGAGCCUCCACCCAGGCGCAUGGCUCCAUGAAGCAAGAGGAGGAGGCAGAGCGCGAGAGAUCCCGUCCGCCCCAGCCGCGUCUGGGCCAGGAGAAAAGCAAAACCAUAUUCCUGCUGCUGUCAGUUUUGAUGCACUGAGAAAACUUCAGAGACCUAAGCUUUUUCCAGAGAAGAGAAGCUUUACUGGUGUUCCAGCCCUAAGAAACCUUUGUUCAACAAAACUGCAGAUGCUCUGUUGAAUCCACUGGAGAUUGUCCUGAUACUAAGGACAAGUAUCAACCAUCUUUCCUGUGAAAAAUUCCCUCUCCUAGUACUUUAGUUCUGUGGAUCCAAAAUUUAUAGCAUUCUUCUACCACCACAGGGGCUCAUAUGACAUUAACAGACAAGACACUUUUCAGAAAGACAGGUUGUUCUUUUGGGCCACAUCUAAGAAAUCUUUGUCUAGCCAAAAGCCACAAAUAAUUUCUCAUUUUUUGGCUUCUGGAAGAUGUACAGUUAAAUGUUAUAUUUGGGACUGUUAUCUAAUUUGAUUAAAUUGCACUCUACAAUAUGAUAUUUGAAUUGAUGAAAAAUUAGUAAAUGUUAAUAUUUUUUAAAGUAGCCAAAUCUUGCAAUUUAUAUAUAAUAGAGAAGACUAGAAAAUCCCCCAUAUUUAUUUCCUCUUACUUCGUACUACUAAAAUUUGUAUUUAGGCAUUUGGUUUCUCAGAUAAACAUUACAUUCCCCAGUAUAUGGUUCUAUCUGGCUUGGUGACGACAUGUUGAACAUUAAGAUGUGAGCAGAAGUAAUACAUACACACUCUUUUUAAUGUCUUUAAUUGAAUGGGAUAUUGGCCCAUUUUUUCUUCCAGUUUAUUACACUGAAUAUUGACAUGUUAUUUUCCAAUAUUGAGACAAUCAAUGACAAGACUUUAAGAGUAACAAUGUAAAAAUUAUAGAAGUUGUCUGAGUUUAUCAACAAUCCCCUGGAUUAGAACCCCCUACCAGUUCUAGGUCAUCUAAUAUAUAGACAUUGUGUUCAGUAGAAAUAAAUAUAUAUAUUUUUUAAUAUACUUUAAG
This 1277-nucleotide long non-coding RNA is filed under the name Homo sapiens (human). Its description in RNAcentral is "non-protein coding NUTM2A-AS1:7". The record is from RNAcentral. Lineage: Eukaryota; Metazoa; Chordata; Mammalia; Primates; Hominidae.